Molecule: long non-coding RNA, 420 nt
Filed under: Solanum tuberosum (potato)
Lineage: Eukaryota; Viridiplantae; Streptophyta; Magnoliopsida; Solanales; Solanaceae
Description: long non-coding RNA (STUB_LNC010309)
Source: RNAcentral
GUAGAGAAGCCUCUGGUUGAGGUGAACCGGUUUGCAUGACUUGAGCUCCGACAGAACUCCUGUCGGCUGGAGCACUUCCUGCUUCUCUGACCUCAUUCAACGAAUUCCUCCCACUUUCAUUGCGGGGUAGAGAAGUUUCUGGUUGAGGUGCACCAGUUUGCAUGACUUGAGCUCUGACAGAACUCCUGUCGGCUGGAGCACUUCCUGCUUCUGUGAUCUCAUUCAAUGAAUUCCUCUCAUUUUCAUUGCGGGGUAGAGAAGGCUCUGGUUGAGGUGCACUGGUUUGCAUGACUUGAGCUCCGACAGAACUCCUGUCGGCUGGAGCACUUCCUGCUUCUGUGACCUCAUUCAAUGAAUUCUUACCCUUUACAUUGUGGCACAACUGUACAAUUGUAUCCUCUUGAGAUUGAUGCUUCUUCA